Molecule: non-coding RNA, 314 nt
Filed under: Marmota monax (woodchuck)
Lineage: Eukaryota; Metazoa; Chordata; Mammalia; Rodentia; Sciuridae
Source: RNAcentral
GUCAGACACAGUGGCAUGUACCUGUAGUCCCAGUUACUCAGGAGGCUGAAGCAGGAGGAUCUCUGUAGCCCCGGAGUUCUGGGUUGUAGUGUGGUCUGUAUAUUGGGUGUCUUUACUAAGUUUGGCAUCCAUAUGGUGACUAGGAGUAGGGGACCGCCAGGUUGACUGAGGAGGGGUGAAUCAGUCAGGUUGGAAAUGGAGCAGGUCAAAAGUAAGUAGAUUUCAUAGAAAAACUCAAAUUUCUGUGAUCUCUUGAAAAUCAGUCUGGCCUUGUCUGUCACAGUGGGCUGGAGCUGAGAGGGGUCAUCCUCCUU